CGUCAAAUAGUAUGUUGUACGUAUUCUGAAAGGGAAGUACUUCUUCGGUACAAUAUACAAGGUGCUGCAUGGUUGUCGUCAGCUCGUGCCGUGAGGUGUCGGGUUAAGUCCCAUAACGAGCGCAACCCCUAUCAUUAGUUGCCAUCAGGUCAAGCUGGGGACUCUAAUGAAACUGCCUACGCAAGUAGUGAGGAAGGUGGGGAUGACGUCAAAUCAGCACGGCCCUUACGUCCAGGGCUACACACGUGCUACAAUGGCCGGUACAGAGUGAAGCGAAACCGCGAGGUGAAGCAAAACGCAGAAAGCCGGUCUCAGUACGGAUUGGAGUCUGAAACUCGACUUCAUGAAGUUGGAAUCGCUAGUAAUCGCGCAUCAGCAUGGCGCGGUGAAUACGUUCCCGGGCCUU
RNAcentral lists this ribosomal RNA (406 nucleotides) under uncultured Bacteroidota bacterium. RNAcentral describes it as "bacterial SSU rRNA". It matches the Rfam family "Bacterial small subunit ribosomal RNA", at positions 978 to 1382 of the family's 1533-position model. The record is from RNAcentral. Lineage: Bacteria; Pseudomonadati; Bacteroidota.